AUUGAACGCUGGCGGCAUGCCUAACACAUGCAAGUCGAACGAGUGGCGGACGGGUGAGUAAUUUAUUGGCACCUGCCCAAUGGAGGGGGAUAACUACUGGAACCGGUGGCUAAUACCGCAUACCAUGGGAGCGGCCCACAUUGGAUUAGCUAGUUGGUGGGGUAAAGGCUCACCAAGGCGACGAUCCUUAGCUGGUCUGAGAGGAGGACCGUCCACACUGGGACUGAGACACGGCCCAGACUCCUACGGGAGGCAGCAGUGGGGAAUAUUGGACAAUGGGCGAAAGCCUGAUGCAGCCAUGCCGCGUGUAUGAAGAAGGCCUUCGGGUUGUAAAGUACUUUUGGCAGAGAAGCGGUAUCUGCAGAAGAAGCACCGGCUAACUACGUGCCAGCAGCCGCGGUAAUUC
This 406-nucleotide ribosomal RNA is filed under the name uncultured bacterium. Its description in RNAcentral is "partial 16S ribosomal RNA". It matches the Rfam family "Bacterial small subunit ribosomal RNA", at positions 30 to 526 of the family's 1533-position model. The record is from RNAcentral.